GACCUUACUUGAACAGGAUCUGUUCUAACUCAAGGAGACAAGAACCACAGCUUGGUUGAUGACUUAUGACCAGGUGACUAGAGCGUGAUUAUUGGUCUGGGCUGCCCAGUGUUGGGUUCAGCCGGGCCGCAGAGGAUCGUUCCCAGGCAGUUCAACUGUGUGGGAUGGUCACUUGGUUGUCUGACAAGUU
Small nucleolar RNA from Prosopis cineraria, 190 nucleotides. RefSeq annotates it as small nucleolar RNA U3. The record is from RefSeq and is a predicted model, not a curated record. The transcript has a single exon. Lineage: Eukaryota; Viridiplantae; Streptophyta; Magnoliopsida; Fabales; Fabaceae.